GCACUUAUAGCUUAAUUGGUAGAGCAACACUCUUCGAAAGUGGAGGUUCCAUGUUCAAGUCGUGGUAGGUGCG
This 73-nucleotide transfer RNA is filed under the name Vermamoeba vermiformis. RNAcentral describes it as "tRNA-Arg". It matches the Rfam family "tRNA". From Rfam's summary of the family: Transfer RNA (tRNA) molecules are approximately 80 nucleotides in length. Lineage: Eukaryota; Tubulinea; Echinamoebida; Vermamoebidae. The record is from RNAcentral.